GGCAAACAAGCUUUGAUCCGGAGAUGUCCGAAUGGGGAAACCCACUCCUUCUGGAGUAUCCGUGGCUGAAUACAUAGGCCAUGUGAGGCGAACGCGGCGAACUGAAACAUCUAAGUAGCCGCAGGAAAAGAAAUCAACCGAGAUUCCCAGAGUAGUGGCGAGCGAAAUGGGAGCAGCCUGUACUCUUUAUCUGCAGUGUUAGCUGAACGCUCUGGAAAGUGCGGCCAUAGCGGGUGAUAGCCCCGUAGGCGAAAGCAUUGUGGAAGAACUGGGUGUACGACAAGUAGGGCGGGACACGUGAAAUCUGUCUGAAGAUGGGGGGACCAUCCUCCAAGGCUAAAUACUACUGAGAG
RNAcentral lists this ribosomal RNA (353 nucleotides) under Anophryoides haemophila. RNAcentral's name for it is "partial Bacterial large subunit ribosomal RNA". It matches the Rfam family "Bacterial large subunit ribosomal RNA", at positions 87 to 482 of the family's 2925-position model. The record is from RNAcentral. Lineage: Eukaryota; Ciliophora; Oligohymenophorea; Philasterida; Glauconematidae.